Molecule: ribosomal RNA, 520 nt
Filed under: uncultured Glomeromycotina
Lineage: Eukaryota; Fungi; Glomeromycota
Description: SSU rRNA
Rfam family: Eukaryotic small subunit ribosomal RNA
Source: RNAcentral
AGCAGCCGCGGUAAUUCCAGCUCCAAUAGCGUAUAUUAAAGUUGUUGCAGUUAAAAAGCUCGUAGUUGAAUUUCGGGACCAAGUUGUCGGUCGUGCCUCGGUACGCACUGGUGACAUUGGUUUCUCCCUUCUGAAGAACCUUGAUGUCAUUAAUUUGGUGUCUUGGGAAAUCAGGACUGUUACUUUGAAAAAAUUAGAGUGUUUAAAGCAGGCUUACGCUUGAAUACAUUAGCAUGGAAUAAUGAAAUAGGACGUUUGAUUCUAUUUUGUUGGUUUCUAGGAUCGACGUAAUGAUUAAUAGGGAUAGUUGGGGGCAUUAGUAUUCAAUUGUCAGAGGUGAAAUUCUUGGAUUUAUUGAAGACUAACUACUGCGAAAGCAUUUGCCAAGGAUGUUUUCAUUAAUCAAGAACGAAAGUUAGGGGAUCGAAGACGAUCAGAUACCGUCGUAGUCUUAACCAUAAACUAUGCCGACUAGGGAUCGGAUGAUGUUAAUUUUUUAAUGACUCAUUCGGCGCCUUAC